GAUCCUCCCUGCUGGAGCAGCUUUGAGGGUGGUCAUGCUGCUUGGCCACAAGAUUAGCAGCCAAUUUCUUGGCAUUGACUAGUGCUGUUGGCUUCAUUUGGUUAGUAUCAGCAAAGGAUUUCAGCUCAGGGUACAUGGGCUUGAAUCGAACCCAGCCCUUUCACUUGAAGGUAAUUUGUGGCUGUUCCUUGGGUCUGAGCAAAGAACGGGGCUUGAACUUCUCCUUCCCCAAAAGCAAGUGGCUGGCAGUGCUUAAUCUCUGUUUCAGCAUUUCUGUGCCCUUGGGAUCCAGGAGAUGCAGAUUCCCUUUGCAGUCCUGCUCCUGACCCGCAGUGUGACUGCAAGAAGUCAUUUCACAGCUGCCUGCCUUAGUUUCGCCAUGCAGGAUUCCUGUCUCUCACCCCUCUCUAGGGGAUGCUGAGCAUGAGGUUUAUCCAGGAACUAAAUUACCUGUAAAAGAGAUAAAAGAAAGGUUCCGGUUACAAAAUUA
Molecule: long non-coding RNA, 490 nt
Organism: Pezoporus occidentalis (night parrot)
Lineage: Eukaryota; Metazoa; Chordata; Aves; Psittaciformes; Psittacidae
Exons: 3
Source: RefSeq, a predicted model, not a curated record